This 245-nucleotide long non-coding RNA is filed under the name Struthio camelus australis. RNAcentral's name for it is "lncRNA (ENSSCUG00000018011.1)". The record is from RNAcentral. Lineage: Eukaryota; Metazoa; Chordata; Aves; Struthioniformes; Struthionidae.
CAGCAACACAGCUCCUGUGGAUCAGCAAACACUCCUCUUAGUCUCAGGACCAUGAGAUUAAUGCAAGAGUGGAUAGACUCCUCCUCCUUCACCUUGCUGAUCCUGAACACCUACCUUUGGAUGGAGUAAAGGAGUGGGUCUGAACUGAGGUCCGGAGCUUUCACAUGCUGAAGAUGCAUCAGCAGCUGUGGAAGAGCAGUGACUUCCAAGGUGGGGUGGUAUCAGGCAGCUCUUGACAAGCAGUG